UAGGGAAUCUUCGGCAAUGGACGGAAGUCUGACCGAGCAACGCCGCGUGAGUGAAGAAGGUUUUCGGAUCGUAAAGCUCUGUUGUUAGAGAAGAACGUUGGUAGGAGUGGAAAAUCUACCAAGUGACGGUAACUAACCAGAAAGGGACGGCUAACUACGUGCCAGCAGCCGCGGUAAUACGUAGGUCCCGAGCGUUGUCCGGAUUUAUUGGGCGUAAAGCGAGCGCAGGCGGUUCUUUAAGUCUGAAGUUAAAGGCAGUGGCUUAACCAUUGUACGCUUUGGAAACUGGAGGACCUGAGUGCAGAAGGGGAGAGUGGAAUUCCAUGUGUAGCGGUGAAAUGCGUAGAUAUAUGGAGGAACACCGGUGGCGAAAGCGGCUCUCUGGUCUGUAACUGACGCUGAGGCUCGAAAGCGUGGGGAGCAACCAGG
This 429-nucleotide ribosomal RNA is filed under the name Bacillota bacterium. RNAcentral describes it as "Firmicutes bacterium partial 16S ribosomal RNA". It matches the Rfam family "Bacterial small subunit ribosomal RNA", at positions 355 to 776 of the family's 1533-position model. Lineage: Bacteria; Bacillati; Bacillota. The record is from RNAcentral.